GGAACAUCGGAUUACUCAUCUGGUGGCAGGUGGGUGUCGGAGCUGGCUGUGGACCCCACCGUCUGUAGCCAGUCCGCAGCAGCUUUCCUCUCUGGCAAACUCACAGCAAGCAUGCAGGGUGAUAAAACGGCAGUGACAAAUCCAGUGCAAUCAGGUGGGAAAUCCCCCCUGAGUAAUAACACCUCCUCAUCGCUCAUCCCGACCUCUUCCCCUGAGCCCCGCGUCUGCCGCUGAGAACUCAGCGCUGUUUUACCUUCAGCCCUGAGCUCCGCACAGGAAAAAGAAGAGAAAAGUGAGACACGGGAGUCUGGAGGAUCUCAAUCAAUGGUCAGAAAGGAGUACCCAGAAUGUCUACUGAUUGCCUCACUCCACGCAGAAUAUGCAACAUUCAUCCUUUCUCUAUCGCACCCUCCCUGCAUCUCCCAUCAUUCUUGACUCAGAGAAGAAGGCGUCAAGCAUCCUUUCAAGUACCUUCCCCAGGGUUGUCAUCAACUUAACUCCUCUUCAGUUUCCACUGCUACUAGUAAAGUAAUCAUGAUUUACGAAGAAUCCAUGGAAAAAUUUUGCAUCUAUUAAUUAUCUGACUUAAUCUUUGCCAGAUCGUUAUUAAGCAAGAAUUACUAUUACCCUGAUUUUCACAGAUGAGGAAAUUGAGGAUAAGGAAAUUUAGGAACCUGCCUAGAGUUACACAACAAGGAAGUUGCAGAGGGGAGGGUUUUUGCCAAGGUUUCUAUGAUUCCAAUGUUAUCACUUUUCUAAUGCAUCUGCUGACCGAGACUGAAGAAUCAACUACCUCCUCCAGAAGGUCAGUCACCCAAGAAAUCUCUGGGACUGAGGAGAACGGGGGAACAGGAGACAGAUCGGAGAGGCUGGGACAUGGAGAUUUGCUUCAGAUGCAAAGAACUCAUCUCCUAGAAUUUUGCAGCAUCUUCCAGAGUCUAAGCUUGUGUUUUGACGUGCCCUUUCCAAGACACUGGGAUACGUGAAGCUCAGUGAAUCAGGAGCGUUUACGGAGGAGAAAGAAAAUAAGAUCUUCUCCCCAGCUAAAAAUCCAGGCAUUGUCCUUGGCUGGAAAACCUCUCUUGGAUUGUAUGGACAGACUGAAAAUACAUCUUAGCAUCCAAACAUAGACAGCCAGGGCAUGGACUCAGGCUUGAUGCCCAAAGAGAUCCUCAUCAUCAUACCUUAGAAGUACCACAUCCUUUGUUCUUCCUGGCUAAACCCCUUCAGCCAACAUCCCUGCCUGCAGGGUAAGCAAUUUACUUACAGUUAAACUGCUAAUAAGUAGGGAAUCAUGGAUCAAUCAGAAACACUAAAUAUUUCAAAAUAUUUAGGGUCAAUAUUUCAAAAAACAUUGCAACAUUUGUACAUUUACCUGCUACAAGUUUGCAUGGGCAGGAACCAUAUCAAGUCCAUUAAAAUUCCUGAUUUCCUUAUGUCUAGCAAAAUCUUUGAUCACUAGUUAUGUAUAUUUCAGUUAAUAAAAAUGAAGAGCAUGAGUACUCUUCCAUAAGAAAUGCAGCGUGUUGGGAUAUACAGAAUUUUGCAAAACAGAGUAGAAUGGGGAUGGUUAUCAUAACGCAGUGGGCCCAUCAGUGUAGUGGAGUUCAACAUUUUUGAUUCCUUCCAAAUUUCCAGAUUUCAUCUUUGAUGUUGGGAAUGUAAAGACUGAUAUAGCACAAUCAUGGUCCUCCAGAAAUGUAUCAGAUUGUUGGGGAAACAAAUAGAUGCAGAAAUAGUUAUCUGCGUGAUACAGCAAAUACAAACAUGUGCAAGAUGCUCCAAGGAUGUAGAAAGAGAAGCCCUGGUUGGGCUUGUGUGGAGGAGAUGUGGGAAAGGGGGCUUUCUCAAGGAAGCAAUGUCUGAACUCAGACGUGAAGGAACAGCAGAGCUUACCCUCCCCACAGGAGGUUGUACUGUACAGCAUGAGCAAAGAAAGGAGGAAGGUGUAAAGACAUUACCUUUGGUGCAAAGAUUGGCAUAGCUGUCCCACAACCUAUUUGAAUUAACAUUUGUCAAUGAGACACCAACAUCAAAUGCUAUCACUGACAUGUGGAAUCUAAAAAAAGGACACAAUGAACUUCUUUGCAGAACAGAUACUGACUCACAGACUUUGAAAAACUUACGGUUUCCAAAUGAGACAGGUUAGCGGGUGGGGGGAUGCACUGAGGGUUUGGGAUGGAAAUGCUGUAAAAUUUGGUUGUGAUGAUUGUUGUACACCUAUAAAUGUAAUAAAAUUCAUUAAGUAAUAAAAAAGGAAAAAAAAACUUUACAAUGAUAUAUAAAAAAUAAUAAUGUUUAUCAUGGUAGGUCUCCAUGCAUUAAGAAUUUACUGAGAGGCUAUUCUAUGCCAAGCCUAACAGUGGGCACCCAGGGUGGAUAGCUCAAAUGUCAUGUCUCCAAAAAUCCACAUUUCAGGAGAGAAAACGAUGCAACACUGUGCAAUGAGCUUGAAAGACCUCACCCAUAAUACAUGCUGGACCAGGAGCUUUAUUUGGUAGAAAUGCUUUGAGAAUAUUUUUUUUGUUUUUAUCUUGCCACUGGAUGUGUC
This 2551-nucleotide long non-coding RNA is filed under the name Sus scrofa (pig). RNAcentral describes it as "lncRNA (ENSSSCG00030012399.1, ENSSSCG00050015771.1)". Lineage: Eukaryota; Metazoa; Chordata; Mammalia; Artiodactyla; Suidae. The record is from RNAcentral.